ACUAACCUUCAAGCUCGUUUGCAAGUGUUUACAUGAACACAAAAAGCAAUCCCUUGUGUGGAGAUCUCGUUGUGAACCGUCACAAUAAAAUACCCCUCAAAAAUAAGGCAAAAAUCAAAGAGGCGCCGUGUUGGGAAAGACGAAAGAAGAAGCAGCGUGUGAGGAAUUAUGAAUGGACUGGGAGCACAUUGUGUCUGAGUGCACUACCGCAGGUUUCUCGGCAGAGGGUGCAGAGGUUCUCCCACUCACUAAAUUGGUGAAAUUUCCUUUCUGCUCAGACCUCCCAGAACCCCAAACAACCCAAUGCAGACUGCUUCCCAUUUUGGGUGCAGUGACUCAGGUCUUCCUGUUGUCGAAGGAGCCAAAUGAAGGAAUUGAGAUCUAAAUCCCUCUGGAUCAGUUCUUCUGCCCCUGCCAUCUUGCCUUCGGAUGGUGCUCUAAAACAUGGGCCAACAAGUGGUGCCUAGUGGUUUCCCCCCUCCAGUGGACUAACGCUCAAUCCAAAAUACAAGAAAAUACAAUCACAACAGUCGUUUGAAAUAUUCCACAUACAGUUUUGUAGCUGCAGUUUUCAUGACUGCUCCUGUUACGGCGUUGGCUUUUGUGAUUGAAAAUAUCGCAUCAUCAAAGAAGUAUGAGACUGGAAAUGUCUUAUGAACUCUCUUUGCUUUUUGUAAGAAAUUGAAAAGAUUCAGGAAACAGCCAGCAUUUUCACAGAGCACAUUUCACAUGACUACUAUCUAACUUAUAAGGAUUCCCUUAUUCUGUAUUCACCUGCCUGGGAGGUGGUAUUUGUCACGAACACUAACUUAAAAAAAAAAAAGAAAUUUUGUUUGACAGCAAUUCAACAAGUGGUGAAAACUAUGUGAUCUGUGAUCAACUGAUAAGGAAACUGUGAUAUGAAUCAAAGACUGUUGCUAAUGUGCGUGUGCUGGUUGCUGCUGCUAUUCCCUUUAUGUAUACAUAAAGAACAAUACAAAGGCAUUCACACAUAGGUACAGCAAAUAUGCACACACACACGUGUAUACAAGCCGGUGGAUGGCUCCCGUCUAUCCAAGAGUGCACGCUUGAUUUUAGGGGAUGGGGCAGAGCGUUAUCAGGGUUAAGACUGUCUAUGCCAGUAUUUGUUUUGUGUUAUUGUAUGCUGUCUUAAACAUGACCCAUAUUACAAGAUUAUAAAGUGUGCUGUUUUCAUUUGAGAGGAGCUGCAGGCUGCUUUUAUCCAAUUAAGAUGAUGGUACUCAUUUAUGUUCAAUAGAACGUUGCAGGCCGUAUUCUCUGUUCUGUGUACGUAGAACACAUAAACACACGAUAUAUGAAAUAUGCCCUCAUGUGGAGAUGGAAAUGCAAA
Cololabis saira (Pacific saury) is the source of this 1351-nucleotide long non-coding RNA. RefSeq lists it as uncharacterized. The record is from RefSeq and is a predicted model, not a curated record. The transcript has 3 exons. NCBI's taxonomy places the organism in Eukaryota, Metazoa, Chordata, Actinopteri, Beloniformes, Belonidae.